GAUGAACGCUGGCGGCGUGCCUAAUACAUGCAAGUCGAGCGAACGGACGAGAAGCUUGCUUUUCUGAUGUUAGCGGCGGACGGGUGAGUAACACGUGGAUAACCUACCUAUAAGACUGGGAUAACUUCGGGAAACCGGAGCUAAUACCGGAUAAUAUUUUGAACCGCAUGGUUCAAAAGUGAAAGACGGUCUUGCUGUCACUUAUAGAUGGAUCCGCGCUGCAUUAGCUAGUUGGUAAGGUAACGGCUUACCAAGGCAACGAUGCAUAGCCGACCUGAGAGGGUGAUCGGCCACACUGGAACUGAAACACGGUCCAGACUCCUACGGGAGGCAGCAGUAGGGAAUCUUCCGCAAUGGGCGAAAGCCUGACGGAGCAACGCCGCGUGAGUGAUGAAGGUCUUCGGAUCGUAAAACUCUGUUAUUAGGGAAGAACAUAUGUGUAAGUAACUGUGCACAUCUUGACGGUACCUAAUCAGAAAGCCACGGCUAACUACGUG
This 497-nucleotide ribosomal RNA is filed under the name uncultured bacterium. Its description in RNAcentral is "partial 16S ribosomal RNA". It matches the Rfam family "Bacterial small subunit ribosomal RNA", at positions 28 to 507 of the family's 1533-position model. The record is from RNAcentral.